RNAcentral lists this ribosomal RNA (492 nucleotides) under uncultured bacterium. RNAcentral's name for it is "partial 16S ribosomal RNA". It matches the Rfam family "Bacterial small subunit ribosomal RNA", at positions 30 to 507 of the family's 1533-position model. The record is from RNAcentral.
AUUGAACGCUGGCGGCAUGCUUUACACAUGCAAGUCGAACGGUAACAGGCCUUCGGGUGCUGACGAGUGGCGAACGGGUGAGUAAUGCAUCGGAACGUGCCCAGAGGUGGGGGAUAACGCAGCGAAAGCUGUGCUAAUACCGCAUGUGAUCUGAGGAUGAAAGCGGGGGACCUGGCAGCAAUGUUUGGCCUCGCGCCUUUGGAGCGGCCGAUGUCAGAUUAGGUAGUUGGUGGGGUAAAGGCCUACCAAGCCGACGAUCUGUAGCUGGUCUGAGAGGACGACCAGCCACACUGGGACUGAGACACGGCCCAGACUCCUACGGGAGGCAGCAGUGGGGAAUUUUGGACAAUGGGCGCAAGCCUGAUCCAGCAAUGCCGCGUGCGGGAAGAAGGCCUUCGGGUUGUAAACCGCUUUUGUACGGAACGAAAAGGCUCUGGCUAAUACCUGGGGCUGAUGACGGUACCGUAAGAAUAAGCACCGGCUAACUACGUG